This 486-nucleotide ribosomal RNA is filed under the name uncultured bacterium. RNAcentral's name for it is "partial 16S ribosomal RNA". It matches the Rfam family "Bacterial small subunit ribosomal RNA", at positions 899 to 1397 of the family's 1533-position model. The record is from RNAcentral.
ACUCAAAUGAAUUGACGGGGGCCCGCACAAGCAGCGGAGCGUGUGGUUUAAUUCGAUGAUACACGAAGAACCUUACCAGGGUUUGACAUGCGCGUAGUAGGGAAGCGAAAGCGGACCGACCCUUCGGGGAGCGCGCACAGGUGCUGCAUGGCUGUCGUCAGCUCGUGCCGUGAGGUGUUAGGUUAAGUCCUAUAACGAGCGCAGCCCUUACUGCCAGUUACACGUGUCUGGCGGGACUGCCGGUCAUAAGCCGGAGGAAGGUGGGGAUGACGUCAAGUCAGCAUGGCCUUUAUAUCCUGGGCGACACACACGCUACAAUGGCUGGUACAAUGGGCUGCCAAGCCGCGAGGCGGAGCCAAUCCCACAAAACCAGCCUCAGUUCGGAUUGCAGGCUGCAACUCGCCUGCAUGAAGUCGGAGUUGCUAGUAAACGCGCGUCAGCCAUAGUGCGUUGAAUACGUUCCCGGGCCUUGUACACACCGCCCGU